RNAcentral lists this ribosomal RNA (505 nucleotides) under uncultured bacterium. Its description in RNAcentral is "partial 16S ribosomal RNA". It matches the Rfam family "Bacterial small subunit ribosomal RNA", at positions 28 to 507 of the family's 1533-position model. The record is from RNAcentral.
GACGAACGCUGGCGGCGUGCCUAAUACAUGCAAGUAGAACGCACAGUUUAUACCGUAGCUUGCUACACCAUAGACUGUGAGUUGCGAACGGGUGAGUAACGCGUAGGUAACCUGCCUGGUAGCGGGGGAUAACUAUUGGAAACGAUAGCUAAUACCGCAUAAUAUUAAUUAUUGCAUGAUAAUUGAUUGAAAGAUGCAACUGCAUCACUACCAGAUGGACCUGCGUUGUAUUAGUUAGUAGGUGAGGUAACGGCUCACCUAGGCGACGAUACAUAGCCGACCUGAGAGGGUGAUCGGCCACACUGGGACUGAGACACGGCCCAGACUCCUACGGGAGGCAGCAGUAGGGAAUCUUCGGCAAUGGACGAAAGUCUGACCGAGCAACGCCGCGUGAGUGAAGAAGGUUUUCGGAUCGUAAAGCUCUGUUGUAAGAGAAGAACGGGUGUGAGAGUGGAAAGUUCAUACUGUGACGGUAUCUUACCAGAAAGGGACGGCUAACUACGUG